UUUUAUUAUCCGCACUAAAUUCCCGCGUCCAAAGUUCAGAAACACAAUUCCCCCCAAUCCCAUCACCAACCUUGUUUUACCCAAUUUUCAACAGUCAUUCUCCGCUGCCAUCGUCGCUCCGUCAUAGUUGCACCACCGUCGUUCUCUUGCUCGCACCGCCGUUGCGCUCUAUUGCUGCUGCAACCCUUGCCGACUUCGAUUCCAACCCCAACCUCAUUGUACAGUCCGCCGCCGCACUUGGCAACUUCGCCUGUGGCCUUGACGCCGGUGUCCGUGCUGUCCUCGACGCCGGAGCUUUCCCUCGCUUGAUCAGGCUCCUCUCUGCCUCCGAUGACAAGGUUGUGGAUGCAGCUGCACGUUCUCUAUGAAUGAUUUAUCCAUCAAAAUUGGCCCCAAAAUAUGACUUUUUCAAGGAAGAGAACUUGGAGUUCCUGCUUUUAGUGUUGAAAAGCGAGAAUGAAAGUCUUUCUGCACUAGGUGCGAGCAUUAUUAUUCAUUCAUGCGAGACAGGUGAAGAACAGAAUAUCUUAUGCUAUGCUGGUGUGUUGGACAAACUCAUCAGCCUUCUGUAUGGUUCUCUAAGCCAGCAAGAUGCUAGUUUGGAGUCCAUAGCUGUGAUUGUUAAAAACAAUUCUGAAGCUGUCUCUAAAUUUGUCGACCUUAGAGGUGGAAGAGCUUUGAGCCCUGUAAUUGAAUUAAGUAAAGACAAAUAUUCUCGAACAAGAUUACUAGCUUGCUUGUGCCUGAUUUGUGUUAAGAAUGCUUCUUCUUGCCAUCUUCAAGACACAUGAACCAAAACCAAACUGAUAAAUAUUCUGCUUGAACUCUUUGAUGAUUCUGGUCAAGUUGGAGAUGAAGCUCCAUUUCCAGAGCAAGUGGAUAAUAGCUGUUUUUUUGGUGGUUUCAUUCUUUGGAACCAUGAUAUCGAAGAAGCCUUGUGGAUUUUUACUUUGUUUUGAAUAUUUUGUAUUAUUAGUGGAUUGUAAUUUAAACGAAUAUAAGUCUGAGUUUAGUUAUUUA
Molecule: long non-coding RNA, 1020 nt
Organism: Arachis duranensis
Lineage: Eukaryota; Viridiplantae; Streptophyta; Magnoliopsida; Fabales; Fabaceae
Exons: 3
Source: RefSeq, a predicted model, not a curated record